UAUUCCCUUUUAAAAUAACAAAAGAAAAUACUCAAUAGAUGAAACACUAAAAUCGGUCCAGAGACAGAAGUAGCGAAACUCUCAUCUCGAACACAUCGACUCGAUGUGAAGAACAGAGAAGCGCCCAAAAUUGGUCCUCUAUAGCUAGAAAUCCCAAACUGAAACCCAAAAUCGGUCCUCUCUAGCUAGAAAUCUGUCCAGAUAAUAGAAAUCCCAAAUCGAAGUCCCUCAAAAAUCCCACCCAAAUCAAAAUCCUUCAAAUCAGAAUGUGAAUUCGAUUGGGUGUUUAUGAUACUUGCCGGAAACUUCAUUUUGAAGCUAAAUCUCAAGAUUGGAAGCUGGUUUGAUGAGUUUUGGUUUGAAUUUGUGAAUCGAGUGUGCGAAGAAGAAGACCACUAGGGUCUUUCGAUUCAAAGAUUCUUCAACUUCAAGUAUUCAUGAACUUCUACACUGCUGCGGAAGUCAGCAAAGGGCAAGAAAAUAUAGAAGUGAAAUUUUAACAACUCAGGUAUGUUAAAAUCCCUAAUCUUUUAGACUUUAACAACUCAGGUAUGUUAAAAUCCCUAAUCUUUUAGACUCGGCAUUUAGAACUGUACAACUCCUUGCUAAGCUUUAGUCGGGUCGUAUUUUAAACUAGUUCAGUUUGUACCCCAUAGCGUGCUUCUUCUUUGUUGUGUUCGAGAUGUAAAGAAAUAGUAUGAAUCUGAUUGAAUAUUGACCAAUUGGACUACAUGUAGCGAAUCUGCAGCUCAGCUCCUAAGCUGUUGGCGUACAGACAGAAGGCAAACAUAAGACGAGAUUGUGGGCAAGGGCAAGGGCAAGGGGGUGGAGGGGGUGAGAGAAUGCAUUAAGUUCCUCUUGCAACUAUGACUAACCUUUUGUAGUGCUAAAUUGUUUGAUGGAAUAGGAAAGUUAUAUUUAGUGCUUGAUUUGAGAAAAUGUACUUGCUUUAAGUUCGUUUAAUCUCAAAAUAUCAUCAUACAGAUUUGUUAAUGAGACUAGAUAAAUUUCAAAUUAUCAUUUUCCUAUUUGAUGUCAUCUGCUUCCUUAAUAUUGUAUCUUACUGUGCUUAUGCCUUGCAAGAAUGUGUUCAAGUCAAAAAUCACUGUCUGUCUCACAGUGCAGUGACUAGGUUCCGACUGAGUUUGAUAUUUCUCUGCAUAAGCCCUGUAAUUUUACAAGACUCCACUUGUGGCAUAAGGAUCAGGGAGGCAGCUUAUUUCUAGUUGUUCAGGGACAAGUCACUUAAAUAGUGGUAUCGUUCAAGGAUGGUGUCGGGCAAGGAGCAGUUACAAGGCACUUAAUAUUUUGUCGUUUUUGGGAUAUGUAUAUGCGUACAAUUACAAUGCACAAUGAAGUGUCGGGUAGUAUAUAUGUAAUUGACUUUUUAAUAAUGAUAAUAUUUAUAAUAUUCGGCUUAAGAAAUU
Nicotiana tabacum (common tobacco) is the source of this 1427-nucleotide non-coding RNA. Lineage: Eukaryota; Viridiplantae; Streptophyta; Magnoliopsida; Solanales; Solanaceae. The record is from RefSeq and is a predicted model, not a curated record.